RNAcentral lists this non-coding RNA (166 nucleotides) under human gut metagenome. RNAcentral describes it as "Lysine riboswitch". It matches the Rfam family "Lysine riboswitch aptamer". Rfam says of the family: Riboswitches are metabolite binding domains within certain messenger RNAs that serve as precision sensors for their corresponding targets. The record is from RNAcentral.
CAGAUAGAGGUUGCGUGUUUCAUGAGUAAUUGACCGGAUGUAUUCAGGUACAGCGGAAGGCCAGGGAAAGGGGAAAACGCCGAAAGGAUACAGAGCCUGAACCUGUAUGCUUGGGCACAGGGUGAAUAAUCAUGUGACUGCCAUCGAUGAGAUGGAGCGCUAUCGA